GUUUUCCCCUUUUAAAAAUGCAUUCCUGCUGGUUUCAAACUAAAGAAAUGUCUUUCUAUGGUCUGUUGGCCAUUUCAGAAAUUUAGAAAUGAGAUGGCCAUUUCAUUAGAAAGAAACACCU
Molecule: small nucleolar RNA, 121 nt
Filed under: Jaculus jaculus (lesser Egyptian jerboa)
Lineage: Eukaryota; Metazoa; Chordata; Mammalia; Rodentia; Dipodidae
Source: RNAcentral